This is a long non-coding RNA of Lotus japonicus, 270 nucleotides long. RefSeq lists it as uncharacterized. The record is from RefSeq and is a predicted model, not a curated record. Lineage: Eukaryota; Viridiplantae; Streptophyta; Magnoliopsida; Fabales; Fabaceae. The transcript is spliced from 3 exons.
GUGCGUGGUGGUGUGUAUGAGUGUGUUAGGUGUGAACGAUUUUCUACAAGAUGCUGAGAAGGUAUCGGCUUAAAGUAGAGGUGUUCGAUGGUUCAAAAAAUGCUGUUUUUUUCCUUAAUGAUUCUCAAGUGAAGGAGUUGAUCAGUUUGUCUCCAGAUGAUCUGUUGUAUCCUCUGGAUUCUAUUGCUGAUGUUGACUUUCCACUGGAGGUUCAGGAAAAAGUUAUUGGCAAAGAAAUUUUGUUUAAAGUUUCUAAGAUUCCUGGGAUUA